This 497-nucleotide ribosomal RNA is filed under the name uncultured bacterium. Its description in RNAcentral is "partial 16S ribosomal RNA". It matches the Rfam family "Bacterial small subunit ribosomal RNA", at positions 28 to 507 of the family's 1533-position model. The record is from RNAcentral.
GAUGAACGCUGGCGGCGUGCCUAAUACAUGCAAGUCGAGCGAACAGACGAGGAGCUUGCUCCUCUGACGUUAGCGGCGGACGGGUGAGUAACACGUGGAUAACCUACCUAUAAGACUGGGAUAAUUUCGGGAAACCGGAGCUAAUACCGGAUAAUAUAUUGAACCGCAUGGUUCAAUAGUGAAAGACGGUUUUGCUGUCACUUAUAGAUGGAUCCGCGCCGCAUUAGCUAGUUGGUACGGUAACGGCUUACCAAGGCGACGAUGCGUAGCCGACCUGAGAGGGUGAUCGGCCACACUGGAACUGAGACACGGUCCAGACUCCUACGGGAGGCAGCAGUAGGGAAUCUUCCGCAAUGGGCGAAAGCCUGACGGAGCAACGCCGCGUGAGUGAUGAAGGUCUUCGGAUCGUAAAACUCUGUUAUUAGGGAAGAACAAAUGUGUAAGUAACUAUGCACGUCUUGACGGUACCUAAUCAGAAAGCCACGGCUAACUACGUG